AAUACUUAGGAAUCUGCCUAUUAGUGGGGGACAACAUUUCGAAAGGAAUGCUAAUACCGCAUACGCCCUACGGGGGAAAGCAGGGGCUCUUCGGACCUUGCGCUAAUAGAUGAGCCUAAGUCAGAUUAGCUAGUUGGUGGGGUAAAGGCCUACCAAGGCGACGAUCUGUAACGGGUCUGAGAGGAUGAUCCGUCACACUGGGACUGAGACACGGCCCAGACUCCUACGGGAGGCAGCAGUGGGGAAUAUUGGACAAUGGGGGCAACCCUGAUCCAGCCAUGCCGCGUGUGUGAAGAAGGCCUUUUGGUUGUAAAGCACUUUAAGCGAGGAGGAGGCUCCUGUAGAUAAUACCUACAGUGAGUGGACGUUACUCGCAGAAUAAGCACCGGCUAACUCUGUGCCAGCAGCCGCGGUAAUACAGAGGGUGCGAGCGUUAAUCGGAUUUACUGGGCGUAAAGCGUGCGUAGGUGGCCAAUUAAGUCAAAUGUGAAAUCCCUGAGCUUAACUUAGGAAUUGCAUUCGAUACUGGUUGGCUAGAGUAUGGGAGAGGAUGGUAGAAUUCCAGGUGUAGCGGUGAAAUGCGUAGAGAUCUGGAGG
RNAcentral lists this ribosomal RNA (597 nucleotides) under uncultured bacterium. RNAcentral describes it as "bacterial SSU rRNA". It matches the Rfam family "Bacterial small subunit ribosomal RNA", at positions 112 to 704 of the family's 1533-position model. The record is from RNAcentral.